GACGAACGCUGGCGGCGUGCCUAAUACAUGCAAGUAGAACGCACAGUUUAUACCGUAGCUUGCUACACCAUAAACUGUGAGUUGCGAACGGGUGAGUAACGCGUAGGUAACCUGCCUGGUAGCGGGGGAUAACUAUUGGAAACGAUAGCUAAUACCGCAUAAUAUUGAUUAUUGCAUGAUAAUUGAUUGAAAGAUGCUAUUGCAUCACUACCAGAUGGACCUGCGUUGUAUUAGCUAGUAGGUGAGGUAACGGCUCACCUAGGCGACGAUACAUAGCCGACCUGAGAGGGUGAUCGGCCACACUGGGACUGCGACACGGCCCAGACUCCUACGGGAGGCAGCAGUAGGGAAUCUUCGGCAAUGGACGAAAGUCUGACCGAGCAACGCCGCGUGAGUGAAGAAGGUUUUCGGAUCGUAAAGCUCUGUUGUAAGAGAAGAACGGGUGUGAGAGUGGAAAGUUCACACUGUGACGGUAUCUUACCAGAAAGGGACGGCUAACUACGUG
Molecule: ribosomal RNA, 505 nt
Filed under: uncultured bacterium
Lineage: Bacteria
Description: partial 16S ribosomal RNA
Rfam family: Bacterial small subunit ribosomal RNA
Source: RNAcentral